UACGGGGGGUGCGAGCGUUGUCCGGAAUCACUGGGCGUAAAGGGCGCGUAGGUGGCGUGAUAAGGGUGUGGUGAAAGCCCGGGGCUCAACCCCGGGUCGGCCAUGCCGACUGUCGGGCUAGAGUGCGGAAGAGGCGAGUGGAAUUCCUGGUGUAGCGGUGAAAUGCGCAGAUAUCAGGAGGAACACCUAUUGAGAAGGCAGCUCGCUGGGACGUAACUGACGCUGAGACGCGAAAGCGUGGGGAGCAAACAGG
Molecule: ribosomal RNA, 253 nt
Filed under: uncultured bacterium
Lineage: Bacteria
Description: partial 16S ribosomal RNA
Rfam family: Bacterial small subunit ribosomal RNA
Source: RNAcentral